AGCUUUGCGUAGUGGCAGUAUCGUAGCCAAUGAGGUUUAUCCGAGGCGCGAUUAUUGCUAAUUGAAAACUUUUCCCAAUACCCCGCCGACUUGAAAUAUAGUCGGCAUUGGCAAUUUUUGACAGUCUCUAUGGAGA
Molecule: small nuclear RNA, 136 nt
Filed under: Aotus nancymaae (Ma's night monkey)
Lineage: Eukaryota; Metazoa; Chordata; Mammalia; Primates; Aotidae
Description: U4 spliceosomal RNA (ENSANAG00000010027.1)
Rfam family: U4 spliceosomal RNA
About the family: U4 small nuclear RNA (U4 snRNA) is a component of the major U2-dependent spliceosome. The structure of U4 snRNA from yeast and human has been reported.
Source: Rfam by way of RNAcentral